Molecule: ribosomal RNA, 251 nt
Filed under: uncultured bacterium
Lineage: Bacteria
Description: partial 16S ribosomal RNA
Rfam family: Bacterial small subunit ribosomal RNA
Source: RNAcentral
GGAGGAUCCGAGCGUUAUCCGGAUUUACUGGGUGUAAAGGGAGCGUAGGCGGUCCUGCAAGUCUGAUGUGAAAGGCCGGGGCUCAACCCCGGGACUGCAUUGGAAACUGUAGGACUAGAGUGUCGGAGGGGUAAGUGGAAUUCCUAGUGUAGCGGUGAAAUGCGUAGAUAUUAGGAGGAACACCAGUGGCGAAGGCGGCUUACUGGACGACUACUGACGCUGAGGCUCGAAAGCGUGGGGAGCAAACAGGA